AUUGAACGCUGGCGGCAGGCCUAACACAUGCCAGUCGAGCGGAUGAAGGGAGCUUGCUCCUGGAUUCAGCGGCGGACGGGUGAGUAAUGCCUAGGAAUCUGCCUGGUAGUGGGGGAUAACGUCCGGAAACGGGCGCUAAUACCGCAUACGUCCUGAGGGAGAAAGUGGGGGAUCUUCGGACCUCACGCUAUCAGAUGAGCCUAGGUCGGAUUAGCUAGUUGGUGGGGUAAAGGCCUACCAAGGCGACGAUCCGUAACUGGUCUGAGAGGAUGAUCAGUCACACUGGAACUGAGACACGGUCCAGACUCCUACGGGAGGCAGCAGUGGGGAAUAUUGGACAAUGGGCGAAAGCCUGAUCCAGCCAUGCCGCGUGUGUGAAGAAGGUCUUCGGAUUGUAAAGCACUUUAAGUUGGGAGGAAGGGCAGUAAGUUAAUACCUUGCUGUUUUGACGUUACCAACAGAAUAAGCAUCGGCUAACUUCGUG
Molecule: ribosomal RNA, 484 nt
Filed under: uncultured bacterium
Lineage: Bacteria
Description: partial 16S ribosomal RNA
Rfam family: Bacterial small subunit ribosomal RNA
Source: RNAcentral